Molecule: ribosomal RNA, 497 nt
Filed under: uncultured bacterium
Lineage: Bacteria
Description: partial 16S ribosomal RNA
Rfam family: Bacterial small subunit ribosomal RNA
Source: RNAcentral
GAUGAACGCUGGCGGCGUGCCUAAUACAUGCAAGUCGAACGACAAGACGGUGAGCUUGUUCCCCUGCCGUUAGCGACGGACGGGUGAGUGACACGUGGAUCACCUUCUUCUAUUUCGGGGAUGAUUACGUGAAACCGCUGCUAAUACCAGAUCAUAUAUUCUACCGGAUGGUUCAGUAGUUAUUGAGGGCUUUGCCGUUACUUAUAGCUGAAUUCGGGCCGCAUUAGCUAGUUGGUAAGGUAACGGCUUACCAAGGCAACGAUGCGUAGCCGAGCUGAGAGGAUGAUCAGCCACACUGGAACUGAGACACGGUCCAGACUCCUACGGGAGGCAGCAGUAGGGAAUCUUGGGCAAAGGGCGAAAGCCUGACGGAGCAACGCCGCGUGAGUGAUGAAGGUCUUCGGAUCGUAAAGCUCUGUUAUUAGGGAAGAACAGAUGUAUGAUUAUCCAUGCACGUUUUGACGGUACCUAAACAAAAAGCCACGGCUAACUACGUG